RNAcentral lists this ribosomal RNA (94 nucleotides) under Klebsiella pneumoniae. RNAcentral describes it as "partial 16S ribosomal RNA". It matches the Rfam family "Bacterial small subunit ribosomal RNA", at positions 1 to 89 of the family's 1533-position model. The record is from RNAcentral. Lineage: Bacteria; Pseudomonadati; Pseudomonadota; Gammaproteobacteria; Enterobacterales; Enterobacteriaceae.
UUAAAUUGAAGAGUUUGAUCAUGGCUCAGAUUGAACGCUGGCGGCAGGCCUAACACAUGCAAGUCGAGCGGUAGCACAGAGAGCUUGCUCUCGG